This 75-nucleotide transfer RNA is filed under the name Candidatus Aminicenantes bacterium RBG_19FT_COMBO_58_17. Its description in RNAcentral is "tRNA-Gly". It matches the Rfam family "tRNA". Rfam says of the family: Transfer RNA (tRNA) molecules are approximately 80 nucleotides in length. Their secondary structure includes four short double-helical elements and three loops (D, anti-codon, and T loops). The record is from RNAcentral. RNAcentral also lists the same sequence under 1 other name. Lineage: Bacteria; Candidatus Aminicenantota.
GCGGGCGUAGUUCAGGGGUAGAACGUCUGCUUGCCAUGCAGAAGGUCGUGGGUUCAAAUCCCAUCGCCCGCUCUA